This 23-nucleotide non-coding RNA is filed under the name Arabidopsis thaliana (thale cress). The record is from RNAcentral. Lineage: Eukaryota; Viridiplantae; Streptophyta; Magnoliopsida; Brassicales; Brassicaceae.
UGAUUGGUUCGUCUGUAGCUGUA